Molecule: ribosomal RNA, 457 nt
Filed under: uncultured bacterium
Lineage: Bacteria
Description: bacterial SSU rRNA
Rfam family: Bacterial small subunit ribosomal RNA
Source: RNAcentral
AACGAACGCUGGCGGCAUGCCUAACACAUGCAAGUCGAACGGGAUCCUAGCUUGCUAGGUGAGAGUGGCGGACGGGUGAGUAACACGUGGGAAUCUGCCUUUGGUUCGGGAUAACCGCGGGAAACUGCGGCUAAUACCGAAUGCCCUCGAGAGAGGAAAGAUUUAUCGCCAGAAGAGGAGCCCGCGUCCGAUUAGGUAGUUGGUGGGGUAAAGGCCUACCAAGCCGACGAUCUUUAGCUGGUCUGAGAGGAUGAUCAGCCACACUGGGACUGAGACACGGCCCAGACUCCUACGGGAGGCAGCAGUGGGGAAUAUUGGACAAUGGGCGAAAGCCUGAUCCAGCAAUGCCGCGUGAGUGAUGAAGGCCUUAGGGUUGUAAAGCUCUUUUACCCGAGAUGAUAAUGACAGUAUCGGGAGAAUAAGCUCCGGCUAACUCCGUGCCAGCAGCCGCGGUAAU